Molecule: long non-coding RNA, 382 nt
Filed under: Gallus gallus (chicken)
Lineage: Eukaryota; Metazoa; Chordata; Aves; Galliformes; Phasianidae
Description: long non-coding RNA NONGGAT004065
Source: RNAcentral
AAGAAGAAAGCAGCCGAGGCAACAGAUGAUGAUGAUGAUGCAUCAGAAAAGAAAUACAGGAAAUGUGAGAAAGCUGGAUGCACUGCAACGUGUCCCGUUUGCUUUGCCAGCGCAGCCGAAAGAUGUGCUAAAAAUGGGUAUACGUCUAGAUGGUAUCAUCUUUCCUGUGGGGAGCACUUCUGCAAUGAAUGUUUUGACCACUACUACCGAAGCCAUAAAGAUGGUUAUGAGAAGUACACUGCCUGGAAAAGGAUUUGGACAAGUAAUGGGAAAAGCGAACCCAGCCCAAAAGCCUUCAUGGCUGAUCAACAGCUCCCUUAUUGGGUAAGGUGGACAGUGAUUUGUGGAAUAUGGUGUAUUUCAAUGUGAUGUUAAUUUGUGA